This 821-nucleotide ribosomal RNA is filed under the name Mycobacterium sp. ITM090657. RNAcentral describes it as "bacterial SSU rRNA". It matches the Rfam family "Bacterial small subunit ribosomal RNA", at positions 88 to 921 of the family's 1533-position model. The record is from RNAcentral. Lineage: Bacteria; Bacillati; Actinomycetota; Actinomycetes; Mycobacteriales; Mycobacteriaceae.
UACUCGAGUGGCGAACGGGUGAGUAACACGUGGGUGAUCUGCCCUGCACUUUGGGAUAAGCCUGGGAAACUGGGUCUAAUACCGAAUAUGACCGCGCWCUUCAUGGUGUGUGGUGGAAAGCUUUUGCGGUGUGGGAUGGGCCCGCGGCCUAUCAGCUUGUUGGUGGGGUAAUGGCCUACCAAGGCGACGACGGGUAGCCGGCCUGAGAGGGUGACCGGCCACACUGGGACUGAGAUACGGCCCAGACUCCUACGGGAGGCAGCAGUGGGGAAUAUUGCACAAUGGGCGCAAGCCUGAUGCAGCGACGCCGCGUGAGGGAUGACGGCCUUCGGGUUGUAAACCUCUUUCAAUAGGGACGAAGCGCAAGUGACGGUACCUAUAGAAGAAGGACCGGCCAACUACGUGCCAGCAGCCGCGGUAAUACGUAGGGUCCGAGCGUUGUCCGGAAUUACUGGGCGUAAAGAGCUCGUAGGUGGUUUGUCGCGUUGUUCGUGAAAACUCACAGCUUAACUGUGGGCGUGCGGGCGAUACGGGCAGACUAGAGUACUGCAGGGGAGACUGGAAUUCCUGGUGUAGCGGUGGAAUGCGCAGAUAUCAGGAGGAACACCGGUGGCGAAGGCGGGUCUCUGGGCAGUAACUGACGCUGAGGAGCGAAAGCGUGGGGAGCGAACAGGAUUAGAUACCCUGGUAGUCCACGCCGUAAACGGUGGGUACUAGGUGUGGGUUUCCUUCCUUGGGAUCCGUGCCGUAGCUAACGCAUUAAGUACCCCGCCUGGGGAGUACGGCCGCAAGGCUAAAACUCAAAGRAAUUGACGGGGGCC